This is a long non-coding RNA of Saccostrea echinata, 565 nucleotides long. RefSeq lists it as uncharacterized. The record is from RefSeq and is a predicted model, not a curated record. NCBI's taxonomy places the organism in Eukaryota, Metazoa, Mollusca, Bivalvia, Ostreida, Ostreidae. The transcript is spliced from 3 exons.
GGCAAAGUAUAUAACUGGAAUCGGGAUACUUGUACAGUAUUUAAGAGCGGUGCCUUUUACAAUAUAUGUAUUCCAGCUGAAGCUAAACUUGUGCAGAGGGCAUUUAUGGGAGUGUCUCCCGACAUUAUUAACUUGGAUACCUAUAUGAUGACGCAGAAUGAAUACACGUUAUUCUAAGAGUUGGAUUGAAUUGUACCUUUGUUGAGAUUGGUGGAUGUUCGUCCAAUAUUCCUCAACCUUGUACAACUUUCCUUCAAUGACAUAAAACAAUAGUUGUUUCAAAUUUAACCUACAAUUCACCACAUUCUACAUUUCUUUUUUUCUUUACAGAUGGACAGCUUUUAUUUCUCCAUUACAAUACGACAAUGGGAAUCAAGGAUCCGUCUAUCUUUAUACCACCAAAAAUGUGCUUCAAAAAUGUCACAAAAAUCGACAGAAAACCUCGUUUCCAACCAAAUCACAUCUUUAAUUUUCUUGGAGGUCUAAAUCCUUUUUUCCCUUAAAAUUUUUAUAAAUCUAGUUAAUCUAAAACCAUAUACACUUGAUCAAUCAUAGCACAAUCAAU